Long non-coding RNA from Melanotaenia boesemani (Boeseman's rainbowfish), 342 nucleotides. RefSeq lists it as uncharacterized. The record is from RefSeq and is a predicted model, not a curated record. The transcript is spliced from 4 exons. NCBI's taxonomy places the organism in Eukaryota, Metazoa, Chordata, Actinopteri, Atheriniformes, Melanotaeniidae.
AGACACAAAUUGAACCAAACUCAGAAAAAAAGCUUCUGCUGAUAACGAAACAACAUAUUACUUCCUGUAAAUGCUAUUUUACACUAAAACACAAGAGAAAUAUGUGCAGCUCAGCUCUAAACUUUCAGGUUAGGGAAUAAAAGAUGACGGAACAGAUCCAAACAUUCAAUGUUGCAGAAAUAAACUCAGGUUUUCUGUGUUUUUUAUGAAAACAAAGAGCAGACAGACCACUUUGUGGAGAUACAUCAACAUCUUCGAUGCACCCUAUUUUUGUUACCAUCUGCUCGUAGUCCUGUUCUCUUCCGAUCAAAGGAAGAGAACAGGACUACGACCAGAAAAACA